This is a long non-coding RNA of Triticum aestivum (bread wheat), 746 nucleotides long. RefSeq lists it as uncharacterized. The transcript has 2 exons. The record is from RefSeq and is a predicted model, not a curated record. NCBI's taxonomy places the organism in Eukaryota, Viridiplantae, Streptophyta, Magnoliopsida, Poales, Poaceae.
GUCGCCUCAUCUUUCUCUCGAUGCGAGAUCAUUGAUUUGGAAGAGGAAAGAGUCAAAGAGACGCGGUGUCGGGGCGGUGCCGAUCAAUAACGGCACUCCAUCUCCUUGUCCUUGCUGCUUCCAGUCCCGAGGAAGAAGGAAGGUUCACUGCGGUUUCUCCCGGCGUCUCAGUCGAAAAGGAAAAUAACCUAUGUCCUCUCCAAACUUUCUCCUUCCACCAAUCCCUUUUGCUAUUUUAUGCCUCAUUAGUGACUGCAUGGUAGUUGCAUGUACGUGACAUGUUCUGCUUCUCCAUCGCGGGAUUGUCGCCUCAUCUUUCGCUUGAUGCGAGAUCGUUGGUUUGGAAGAGGAAAGAGUCACAGAGAUGCGGUGUCGGGGCAGUGCCGAUCAAUGGAGCUACAUGGGAUGAAACUGUUGAAGGCUGCUAUGUAAAAAUAAGCAUCAGAUAAGCCCAAGUUGGUGUCCGUUGGCAGCCUUUUGAGGAGUGAAGUUUCAAUAAUUGGGACAUGAUAAAUAUAAGUUUGACAUUAUUUAUUCUAACCAAUGUUUAUUUCUUUCAAGGACGUAAUGGGUGCAAGUGUAUAUGUAAAGGGCAUCAGUUAAACCUUAUGGCUCUUACUAAAAUGGCAUGAUUAAGUACAAGCUUGCCAUUCGGUUGUUGCUUUUCUUUUCAUGAACAUCCUAUUAACAAGAUAUCUAAGGUGAUUGUUGUGCUACUUAAUGUUUAUUUUAAAACUACAUCUCUA